This 491-nucleotide ribosomal RNA is filed under the name uncultured bacterium. RNAcentral describes it as "partial 16S ribosomal RNA". It matches the Rfam family "Bacterial small subunit ribosomal RNA", at positions 28 to 507 of the family's 1533-position model. The record is from RNAcentral.
GAUGAACGCUGGCUACAGGCUUAACACAUGCAAGUCGAGGGGAAACGACGGGGAAGCUUGCUUCCCCGGGCGUCGACCGGCGCACGGGUGAGUAACGCGUAUCCAACCUGCCUCUGACUGAGGGAUAACCCGUCGAAAGUCGGCCUAAUACCUUAUGGCAUCGUCUGCGGGCAUCCAACGACGAUUAAAGAUUUCAUCGGUCAGAGAUGGGGAUGCGUCUGCUUAGCUUGUUGGCGGGUUAACGGCCCACCAAGGCGACGAUAAGUAGGGGUUCUGAGAGGAAGGUCCCCCACAUUGGAACUGAGACACGGUCCAAACUCCUACGGGAGGCAGCAGUGAGGAAUAUUGGUCAAUGGGCGAGAGCCUGAACCAGCCAAGUAGCGUGCAGGAGGACGGCCCUAUGGGUUGUAAACUGCUUUUAUGCGGGGAUAAAGUGAGGGACGUGUCCUUCAUUGCAGGUACCGCAUGAAUAAGGACCGGCUAAUUCCGUG